UGGGGAAUUUUGGACAAUGGGCGCAAGCCUGGUCCAGCCAUGCCGUGUGCGGGAAGAAGGCCUUCGGGUUGUAAACCGCUUUUGUCAGGGAAGAAAUCUUCUGAGUUAAUACCUCGGGAGGAUGACGGUACCUGAAGAAUAAGCACCGGCUAACUACGUGCCAGCAGCCGCGGUAAUACGUAGGGUGCAAGCGUUAAUCGGAAUUACUGGGCGUAAAGCGUGCGCAGGCGGUUUUGUAAGACAGAGGUGAAAUCCCCGGGCUCAACCUGGGAACUGCCUUUGUGACUGCAAGGCUUGAGUGCGGCAGAGGGGGGAUGGAAUUCCGCGUGUAGCAGUGAAAUGCGUCGAUAUGCGGAGGAACACCGAUGGCGAAGGCAAAUCCCCCUGGGCCUGCACUGACGCUCAUGCACGAAAGCGUGGGGAGCAAACAGGAUUAGAUACCCUGGUAGUCCNCGCCCUAAACGAUGUCAACUGGUUGUUGGGGAAGGUUUCCCUUUCUCAGUAACGUAGCUAACGCGUGAAGUUGACCGCCUGGGGAGUACGGCCGCAAGGUUGAAACUUAAAUGAAUUGACGGGGU
Molecule: ribosomal RNA, 578 nt
Filed under: uncultured bacterium
Lineage: Bacteria
Description: partial 16S ribosomal RNA
Rfam family: Bacterial small subunit ribosomal RNA
Source: RNAcentral